Lycium ferocissimum is the source of this 2790-nucleotide long non-coding RNA. RefSeq lists it as uncharacterized. The record is from RefSeq and is a predicted model, not a curated record. NCBI's taxonomy places the organism in Eukaryota, Viridiplantae, Streptophyta, Magnoliopsida, Solanales, Solanaceae. The transcript is spliced from 3 exons.
GCCAAACAGACCCCUUAGGGGUUAUUUGUUUUUCACCAAGGUUUUCCAUUGAAGCCCCAGGAGCCGCCACGAUGUGAAAUGCCUCUCUUUUGCCUCACCUUGCUAUUUCCGGCAAGUUUGCAGGCGUACCUCGCCUUUACCAGGUCUGGUGUGACCAGAUCGAGCCAUGCAUUUAUUGCUUCGCCACUUUCUCACCAAACACUGCCCAAACACGGAGCAAAAGGAUCUCCAACUUCAAACUCGACCAAAGGCUGCACUCCAAAAAGCUUGCAGUUUAGGCUCGUACGGUGAGGAGCUUUGUACCUUUUAGUUGAGGCUCGUAUGUUGAAGAGCAUUACACCAUGCGAUUAGGCUCAGGUGAGGACGAGCAUUGUCACUUGCAGUUUAGGCUUGUGCGAUGAGGAGCGUUGUCACAUGCAUGGACUCUUCGAUUUCAUCUUUAGAUUCAAACUUUCCCCCACUAUGGAGUACUUCUAUAUAUUCAUCUUUGUGAGGCCCACAGAUAGGCAACCAUUGAUCUCCACUUGUAGCCAUGCUUAAUUCUAUAUCAUGCGCACUGGUGGCCAACUCUUCUUGUGUAUUGUGUUUUAUUCUUUGCAAGAUGUAGCUAAGACCCCAAUUCAUGCCUUGGAUGCAUAUUUCUAUACUAGAGGUUUCACUUAGGCGAUGUUUGCAACAGAGGCUCAAAGAUCUUUGCAGUUGAGGCUCAAACUCCUCCAAAGGAUUGAUGAAGUCAAUAACUGGCUCACAUUUAUGUCGGCAAGCAUUUGUAAGUUCAAUCAUGCUAAUGAUACGCCUUGUGCUAUAAAAAUGAUUGAGGAAUUCUUGUUUCAGAUACUCCUAACUAAUUAUAGCACCAGGUUUGAGUUCUGUGUAUCAAUCAAAAGCAUUUUCUUUGAAAGAUCAGAUAAACUGCUUGACGAGAUAAUCGCCAUAAGUCCCACCAUCGUUGCAAGUCUCGAUGAAGUGCAUUGUAUAUUGUUUGGAAUUUCCUUUUCCAUCAAAUUGCUAGAAGUUAGGAGGUGGAUAGCCGAUGAGCAUCUUCAAGCUAUCAAUCCUUUGCGUGUAUGGCUUUGCAUACGUGACAGAAGAUUUGGAUGACGGCUCAAAUUUAUUUCCGAUUGCCCCCAUGAUGAAGUCCUUCAAUUGAUUAACAAGUAUCAGACCUUCAACGGAGACUUGGAUCUCUUCAGUAGUCGCUUGCUUUAUGGAGGACUCUCCUUUCUCUUGACUUUCAAGAAAUAUCACAAGUGCUUGAAUUGAUUCUCACUGUGUCACGCUCUUUAUCUUAUUUGUCAGCUUAGAAAAUUUAGCAUCUUGUUCUUGCACGUGCUUUGUCAAUCCUUCAACUGCUUUAGUCAAACUUCCAAGUUUUUCUUGUAUGGUGAAAGCGUCAAUCAUCAUUGCUUGCACGACCAUCACGGAGGAUGAAGUACGUCGUGGAUCCUUAUUUGAAUAUAGCUUGGAUUGGGAAGAGACUUGAUGAGACAUUGGAGCAUAGCAUUUAAGACAUCUUCAACAUCUUCUUGCAUGAAAAGGUUGUUGGACUUGCAAUGUCGUUCUUGUGGCAGAUUAAGUUGAGCCAAAGUUCUUUUGAUGGCCUCAACAAUAUUAUUCCCUUCUUCUAUCUUGGGGAAAUAGGAUAUCAUUCCUUUUGGAAAAAUUGAACCAGAAACAUGAGUUGACUUGGAUGGUACUCAAAGUACUUGUUGUCCUAGCGUUUUGAUUUUCCUUCUCUAGAUUUGGUCAGUUGUGUCCAUGACAGCUUUCAAUCCACUUUUAGAGUCAGUAGCCAUAGUAGUAUCAAAUUUGGGAUACAUAUUCAUUUGAGCCAUAUUGGUGUUCUUCUACUUUUAAAGGAAGAGACGAGGGGUAGAGAUUGUCCCAGUGGGCAUGCCAGAAUUCAUAAACAAUGAAAUUUGAGGCGAGAAAAUAAUAAUCAAGACAAAAAAAUAUCGCAACAACCGUAGUAUUUGAAUUCAAAUAUGAGUGUUACAAUCUCUAUGAAUCCUCUGAUUCUUUCUUUCGAUAAUAAAUUCAAGGGCUUCUGAGCUAGAUGUUGAACUUGAUGGAUUUGAUCUUGUAACAACCCUCCCGGUCUUUAUGAAAAAUCUAGGAUCACCCGACCAAAUAGGACCCUUCCAAGGGUAGAUCGAGCUGAUAGAAACUCAAAUGUAGAAGUCUAAGAAAUGAAAAUUUGGCUUGUGUGUGAUUAUUGUUUAGUUGUGUUGAGUCCAUUAGGGGGUGACGUAGGAAAUUAUACCUCCGUUGGAGAUUCCGAGGCCACGAGUGAGUCCGUAUGGUGUUUUUACAUUAAUGUGCAUAUUUUAUUUUGUUUGUGAGGCCUCGGAUGAAGUGUUGAGUGGUAGAGUGAAAAACUAUGGGAAUUAGCGAGCUUACUAGCUCAGUGGUACCACUGCGGCAGACGAAGUAUUGCUGUAGCGGCGAAUCUCUCGCUGCCUCGGUCAGACGGGAAUUAGGGUGUCUGCUAUGGCGGGCACUGGACCGCUGUAGCAGGACCAGGCUCGCCAUAACGGAGGAAAAUAUUUUUUUAGGUCCACUACAGUGGGCACUUGCCCGCUAUAGCGAGACUGCUGCAACGACGGAAUGACAGCCGCAGCGGUCGACAAGAACAGAAUUCAGGAUUUUAAACACUUAGUUCCAAAUUCUUUAUUCAUAAAACUCCAAAAUAGUUCUCUAGGAGCACCUAGGGCGAAAUUCUAAGGCUAAGACAAGAAUAUUCUUGAGAGGUAAGUCUCAACCAUUCCUUCUUUCAUUACGCCUUCAUCU